This 293-nucleotide long non-coding RNA is filed under the name Panax ginseng (ginseng). RNAcentral describes it as "long non-coding RNA (PGIN_LNC015342)". Lineage: Eukaryota; Viridiplantae; Streptophyta; Magnoliopsida; Apiales; Araliaceae. The record is from RNAcentral.
UCACCCCAUUAAUUAAAGAAGUGCAUCCUCUCUCAAUUCUCCUCACCAUCUCUCUCUCUAGAGCUUGUUUGUUCUGCAACACUCUUGUUCUAUUCUCAAGCUCUUCUUUUCAUGGCACUCCUUUCUUUUUUACCAGAAACCUCACCGGAUGCCAAAAAACAAAAACCCUCAUCAUCCAAACGCCGAAAAAAGCAAAAACAACAAAAGCAGCAAACAUCUUCAUGGGACCAAAUCAAGAACUUGCUCGCUUGCAAACAGAUCGAAACCUCAACUAAUGUUCAACAUCCUUCUUC